UCAGUACUUAGAGAAGGAUCCAUGCUCUUGUCAGUGGACCUUCUGCAGAGUCAGGACAGGACAGCCUUCAGGAAGUGCGAGCCCAGCCCUUGAGCAUCCCUCCCAGAAGAAGAGUUUCCAGCCAGAAGGAGGAGCCAGCAGGUGGUGGAGGGAUCCAGGAGAGAGUGCUGUGGGCGCCCGUGAAUGAGAUGGGCCCAGGACUCGGAGGCGGCCAUCAGACUGUUUGUAAAUAAAUGGAAACCCGAUCUCCAAAGCCGACCUCACUCCUUACAGUGUCUAAACCUCACAGUGUCCUGCCGUCUGACUCUGCAGUGAGCAGCCAACACCGAGCCCCCUCCACCACCUGAUCACCACAAGUGAACCUGAGCAACGCCCACGGGGCUGGCCUCUGGAGCUCAGCUACAGCCCGAGGCCUGGGGUCACCUGAGUCCUCGUGGUCUGCGUCGAUCUGGGAGCUGGCAGGGCAGGAGAGGAAAGCCCAGGGGUUGGGGAAGUGGCUGCAGCCCUCGCCCCCUCCUCCGAGUCCUAGCUCAGUGCAGUUAGACCUGGGCCUGGGAGCUCAGCUCCAAAACGAUUUACAAUUCAAUUGUGAAAUGGAAUACAAAUUAGACAUCCCUCUUUGGGCCUCUCAAUUUUCUUUGUUAAAGCUCCCAUUCCUCCUAGUACAUUUCUCUAUUUCUAGAUGA
Molecule: long non-coding RNA, 686 nt
Organism: Sapajus apella (tufted capuchin)
Lineage: Eukaryota; Metazoa; Chordata; Mammalia; Primates; Cebidae
Exons: 2
Source: RefSeq, a predicted model, not a curated record